This is a long non-coding RNA of Trematomus bernacchii (emerald rockcod), 239 nucleotides long. RefSeq lists it as uncharacterized. The record is from RefSeq and is a predicted model, not a curated record. The transcript is spliced from 3 exons. NCBI's taxonomy places the organism in Eukaryota, Metazoa, Chordata, Actinopteri, Perciformes, Nototheniidae.
UGAAGACUCUCCAAAAGCUUCAGGACAGAUCUUCAACAUCACUGACUUCAGAGCUGAACACAGUGGGAGUUAUUCCUGUGGAGCCCAGAACAAGUUAGGACGUAGUAACUCCACCUUUCAUCUGAGUGUUGUGGCAGGGAGUUCAACAAUGAUAGUGAAUAUCAUCAGGACGACUCUGGGGGUCUUGAUCCUGAUUCCUGUGUUUCUCCUGAGUAUCUGGACGAGGAAGAAGAAAGCUC